This 242-nucleotide ribosomal RNA is filed under the name uncultured bacterium. RNAcentral's name for it is "partial 16S ribosomal RNA". It matches the Rfam family "Bacterial small subunit ribosomal RNA", at positions 335 to 568 of the family's 1533-position model. The record is from RNAcentral.
ACUCCUACGGGAGGCAGCAGUGGGGAAUAUUGCACAAUGGGCGCAAGCCUGAUGCAGCCAUGCCGCGUGUAUGAAGAAGGCCUUCGGGUUGUAAAGUACUUUCAGCAGUGAGGAAAGGCGGGUACGUUAAUAGCGUGCUCGUUUGACGUAGCAUGCAGAAGAAGCACCGGCUAACUCCGUGCCAGCAGCCGCGGUAAUACGGAGGGUGCGAGCGUUAAUCGGAAUUACUGGGCGUAAAGCGC